This 1247-nucleotide long non-coding RNA is filed under the name Setaria viridis. Its description in RNAcentral is "long non-coding RNA (SVIR_LNC000059)". Lineage: Eukaryota; Viridiplantae; Streptophyta; Magnoliopsida; Poales; Poaceae. The record is from RNAcentral.
UUUGAACAAUUUUUGUUCACAAUUAAUGUCAUGGUGGCGAUAAAGGGGAGUGAGAUACAUAUGGUUAGCAUCGACCAGAGAUCUUCAACAAAAAUGUACAAAGAACAAAGGACCAAACUGGAGUACCUUAUAAAAUAUGUAACUUAAAGUUAGCUUAUGUUGAGAUUUUAUAUAUUGCACAAAACAGACAAAAUUUAGGACUAAAGCAAAAGGCUAGAACCAUGAGAAUUGUUUACUUCAAAACAUUGUUUGAGAGUGGAGAGGAGGGAGAGAUGGGAUAGCAUACACAAAGAGCCACUUUGUUGGCUUUGCGCGAGGAGUGCAUCACGUAGCAACGAGGGAAGGUAGCUAGGAUCCUACUUUCUUGGGGGUGCGACAUGCUCAUGGUCGUGUAGAUGAGAGACUAGUGACGAUGAUCUAGCAUUCUAGUGGAUGACAAUUGGGUAGACGGGCACUCGGAUUGGUGCAGAGGAUGCUACAGCCAUUGUCGAUGAGGGUUAUGUGGUGGCAUCUUCGGAGGUGUUAGCGAGGUUGAAGUUGAGGUGAUGAAGUUUACACACAACCGUGGAGUGCUGGUGGGUCGGUAGGGUGACACAAACGAUCUACGAUAAAAAACAAAUUAGGAAAAAAUUUAUCUAAACAAGAAUUAUAAACAUUCUAGGCCAAUCAACGAUCCACGAUAUGAGCCCUAAACUUUGGGUUGCAGCCACAUGAAAAAGGUUGGAUCAUUUCUUUGGGGUAGCGCCAUGGAAGCGGAGGCGGUGGCUUAGGAACAGCACUGGCUCUAUAACUUGUAAGGAUAUGAACAAACUUCUUGAGAAAAUGGACUCAUAUUUUCUUGAAGUAAUUGUUGGUGUCUAGCUGAGCCACUAGUAAGGAAAGGAGAUACUGGACUGUAAAAUGUGGGAUGAUUUGUAUUUAGCCUCCUGGAGGUAGACGUACAUAGUGGGUUGGAUCUCAAACAAUCUUAGAGAUAGAGAAGGAAGCUAUGUACUACCAUGAGAACCGGAUCUUUCGGAUCCUCAUCCAUAUGCUCUAAUACAAUAUUGCCCAUAAAAUAUUUUUCAUCAUGUUAGCUCUUCAUGAUGUUCUAAUACAAUGAUUGUGACUUGCGCGAUCCUACUGCACUAAUUUUCUCAAGAAACCAUGCAUAAACACAAAAAAAAAAUAUAAAAACACAAAAAUAUUACGCUACCUAGCAAAUUUUUGGUUCUACACAGUGUGCAUCGUUGUACUGUACUCCUUCC